UAUUGGAUAAUGGGGUCAACCCUGAUCCAGCCAUGCCGCGCGUGUGAAGAAGGCCUUUCGGUUGUAAAGCACUUUAAGCAGUGGAGAAGACUCCAUGGUUAAUACCCAUGGACGAUGACAUUAGCUGCAGAAUAAGCACCGGCUAACUCUGUGCCAGCAGCCGCGGUAAUACAGAGGGUGCAAGCGUUAAUCGGAAUUACUGGGCGUAAAGCGAGCGUAGGUGGCUUGAUAAGUCAGAUGUGAAAUCACCGGGCUUAACCUGGGAACUGCAUCUGAUACUGUUAGGCUAGAAUAGGUGAGAGGAAGGUAGAAUUCCAGGUGUAGCGGUGAAAUGCGUAGAGAUCUGGAGGAAUACCGAUGGCGAAGGCAGCCUUCUGGCAUCAUAUUGACACUGCGGUUCGAAAGCGUGGGUAGCAAACAG
RNAcentral lists this ribosomal RNA (421 nucleotides) under uncultured bacterium. RNAcentral describes it as "bacterial SSU rRNA". It matches the Rfam family "Bacterial small subunit ribosomal RNA", at positions 362 to 775 of the family's 1533-position model. The record is from RNAcentral.